ACUUUCUCUGCCCGGCCCUGAACGCUCGCCGCCCCUGCCCAGCCGCCCACUGUCUGGCAGCCUGCAAGUCUCCAUUCAGAAGCGGCUCCGUGCUGCCCAGCGAUGGCGCCCUGGCGGCGCGGAAGCCCGCGGCCAAAUGACACGACUUGGGGGCAAAGGAGGACAACAGUUCCCACCAGAAAUGAGCCCCUGAGUCCUGAGUUGGUGGCAGCUGCAUCUGCUGCUCUGUUUUGACAAGCAAACAAGCCAGAACUGCUCAGGCAGCUCCGUAGCAUGAGGAAGAGUCAGGGGCACAGAGAGAUGGAGAGAGACCUAGUUAGACACAUCACCUUCACUUUGGGAUAUGGAAUUUGAUAAGCAGUUAGCCACAGAAUAUGAACAACCCCUUGAGAAUGAGAUUGAAGAACUGAUCCAGGGGACAAAAGAGGGGAAACUGAGAGUUCCCAAUUAAUAAUGAAGCAGCUUCAUAUCUAAGAUCUCUGGUGGACUUUUUCUGCCCGUGGACGCCGCUGAAGAAGCAUCGUUAAAGUCUCUCUUCACCUUGCCGUCAUGUCUAAG
Molecule: long non-coding RNA, 558 nt
Organism: Homo sapiens (human)
Lineage: Eukaryota; Metazoa; Chordata; Mammalia; Primates; Hominidae
Source: Ensembl